GAUAGCGGCCAUAGGGAGAUGGAAAUACCCAGUCCCAUUUCGAACCUGGAAGUCAAGCAUCUCAACGGCGUUCCGAGUACUGUUCUGACGAACGGGAAAAGUUGCUGCUGCUAUCA
RNAcentral lists this ribosomal RNA (116 nucleotides) under Microcaldota archaeon. Lineage: Archaea; Nanobdellati; Microcaldota. The record is from RNAcentral.